Molecule: ribosomal RNA, 497 nt
Filed under: uncultured bacterium
Lineage: Bacteria
Description: partial 16S ribosomal RNA
Rfam family: Bacterial small subunit ribosomal RNA
Source: RNAcentral
GAUGAACGCUGGCGGCGUGCCUAAUACAUGCAAGUCGAGCGAACGGACGAGAAGCUUGCUUCUCUGAUGUUAGCGGCGGACGGGUGAGUAACACGUGGAUAACCUACCUAUAAGACUGGGAUAACUUCGGGAAACCGGAGCUAAUACCGGAUAAUAUUUUGAACCGCAUGGUUCAAAAGUUAAAGACGGUCUUGCUGUCACUUAUAGAUGGAUCCGCGCUGCAUUAGCUAGUUGGUAAGGUAACGGCUUACCAAGGCAACGAUGCAUAGCCGACCUGAGAGGGUGAUCGGCCACACGGGAACUGAGACACGGUCCAGACUCCUACGGGAGGCAGCAGUAGGGAAUCUUCCGCAAUGGGCGAAAGCCUGACGGAGCAACGCCGCGUGAGUGAUGAAGGUCUUCGGAUCGUAAAACUCUGUUAUUAGGGAAGAACAUAUGUGUAAGUAACUGUGCACAUCUUGACGGUACCUAAUCAGAAAGCCACGGCUAACUACGUG